GAGUUGCAUCUUGCAGGGCAGGGCAAGGCAAUGUGAGCUUUUGGUUGAAGCAGAAAGUGAAAUUGGAAGGUUCUUUAAUUGGAAGAUGGAGGAGUCAGUAGAAUCAAUAGCGGUUCCGGAUCACGACGAAGACGAUCCUUCAUCCACGAUUUUGGAUCUCACCAGUUACCAGCUCCACGACCUUGACUCGGUCGAGUUGCCUCCCACUCUCACCGAGUUGGACCUCACCGCGAAUCGCUUGUCCACGCUGGACCCGCGCAUAGCCAACCUCUCCCAUCUCAAGAAGCUCUCACUGCGCCAGAACCUCGUCACCGACGCCGCCGUUCUCCCUCUCUCUUCCUGGAGCGCCCUCGCCUCGCUCGAGGAGCUGGUGCUGCGGGAUAAUCAAUUGAGGAACAUUCCUGACGUCAGCAUAUUCCAGAAGCUUCUGGUAUUCGAUGUUUCGUUCAACGAGAUUAGUUCGCUACACGGCUGUGCCAAAGUCUCCGAUAUGCUCAAGGAACUCUACGUGUCCAAGAAUGAAGUUGCGAAGAUCGAGGAGAUCGACCACUUCCAUCAGCUGCAGAUUCUUGAACUCGGCUCCAAUAAAUUGCGGGUCAUGGAGAAUUUGCAGAGCCUUGUGAAUUUGCAGGAGCUGUGGCUCGGUCGGAAUCGAAUUAAAGUUGUGAAUCUAUGUGGUCUCAAUUGCAUUAAGAAGAUUAGUUUGCAAAGCAAUCGUCUCACUUCAAUGACGGGAUUUGAGGGCUGCGUAGCUCUAGAAGAACUAUACCUGAGCCAUAAUGGUAUUUCAAAAAUGGAAGGGUUGUCGACAUUAGUCAAUCUCCGGGUUUUAGACGUAUCUUCAAAUAAGUUAACUUCAGUGGAUGACAUUACGAACCUGACGCAAUUGGAAGAUUUGUGGCUAAACGACAACCAAAUAGAAUCACUUGAAGGAGUUGCUGAGGCUGUUGUUGGUUCGAGAGAGAAGCUUACAACCAUCUACCUGGAGCAUAACCCAUGUGCUAAGUCACCCAACUAUUCUGCAUUCCUUAGGGAAACAUUCCCCAACGUCCAACAAAUUGAUUCAUAUGUAUUUUCUUAAAAGUUUUUUGGCUUCAGCCUCUUUGUAAUCAGUUGCUUUGAAGCUUUGUCCUUGCAGAUCCAUUUGUUCCGCUUUGAAAGAUUGAUGAUUUAGCUCCAUCCACCUAAUGAAGAGAACAUGCUUACCAACCAUUGGACAAUAUUGUGUGGCCUGACCAUUUGUUACCUGUCGGAUGAAUAUGCUUGUUAUAUGUUACUGUUUUGCAGCCACAUUUCUUUUUAUUUAACAUUUCUUUGACGACCAAUUUUUGAGAAGCAUUGUAACGCUUUAUUUGUGUUGUUUAUUAUAUUUCCAGCUGCAGCUUGUGGUAUACAGAGGUGUAGAUUAAUGAUCGUCCAGAGAUUCAUUGAAAUUUGUUUUACUAAUUUCUUCUCCAUAACAAGUUAAUAUUAAUGGUCA
Unclassified non-coding RNA from Vigna unguiculata (cowpea), 1480 nucleotides. The record is from RefSeq and is a predicted model, not a curated record. Lineage: Eukaryota; Viridiplantae; Streptophyta; Magnoliopsida; Fabales; Fabaceae.